GCCAAAAAUCUAGCCCCACCACAAAACUCCCCCAAAGAAACACCCAAUACUAAAAUAACCCUAACUAAAGCAUUACCAAACUUAAGUACCGGCGAUAGAAAAAGAAAACGGAGCCAUAGACAUAGUACCGCAAGGGAACAAUGAAAUAGAAAUGAAACAACUCAUAAAAGCACUAAAAAGCAGAGACUUACCCUCGUACCUUUUGCAUCAUGGUCUAGCAAGUCACAACAAGCAAAAAGAAUUCAAGUUUGGCCUCCCGAAACUAAGUGAGCUACUCCGAGGCAGCGAAAGAGCAAACCCGUCUCUGUGGCAAAAGAGUGGGAAGACCUCCGAGUAGGGGUGACAGACCUAACGAACUUAGUGAUAGCUGGUUGCUCAUGAAAAGAAUUUAAGUCCUGCCUUAUAAUUACUUAUAACACUUUUAAGUAAUAAAGUAAUUAUAAGAGUAAUUCAAUAGGGGUACAGCCCUAUUGAAGAAGGAAACAAUCUCCAUCUUUGGGUAAGGAUCAUACAACACAAGGGUCUUGCCAGAGUGGGCCUAAAAGCAGCCACCUCGCUAGAAAGCGUCACAGCUCAUGCAAAGCUUAACCAACAAUGUCGUUAAACCCUCCAAACCCGUAAGUACUACUGAGCCUCUCUAUAUCUACAUAGAACAGUUUAUGCUAGAACUAGUAACAUGAAAUUAUUCUCCUAAUGCAAGUGUAAAUCAGAUCGAAAGCCUCACUGAUAGUUAACGUACCAUAUGAAGGUAUUGUAGUAACCAAUCAAGAAAACCCUACAAACCCCGCCGUUAAUCUAACACAAGAGCAUAAAAGAAAGAUUAAAAGACAUAUAAGGAACUCGGCAAACAUGAACUUCGCCUGUUUACCAAAAACAUCGCCUCCUGCCCUACAUGUAUAGGAGGUCCAGCCUGCCCAGUGACGUAAAUGUUUAACGGCCGCGGUAUUCUGACCGUGCAAAGGUAGCGUAAUCACUUGUCUUUUAAAUAAAGACUAGUAUGAAUGGCACCACGAAAGUUCAACUGUCUCCUAUGUCUAAUCAGUGAAACUGAUCUCCCCGUGCAGAAACGGGGAUAUUAACAUAAGACGAGAAGACCCCAUGGAGCUUUAAACUUUAAGCACCCGCUUUACACCAAACCCCCUAUAGGCAUAAUAUGAAAUCAAGCGAACAUGACCCACUGUUUUCGGUUGGGGCGACCACGGAGAAAAGCAUAUCCUCCGAGACGAAAGGGUGUACCACCCUUAACCUAGAGCCACUACUCCAAGUAAUAGAACCUCUAACGCCAUGAUCCAAUUCUUUGAUCAACGAACCAAGUUACCCUGGGGAUAACAGCGCAAUCCAUUUUAAGAGUCCAUAUCGACAAAUGGGUUUACGACCUCGAUGUUGGAUCAAGGUGUCCUAGUGGUGCAGCCGCUACUAAGGGUUCGUUUGUUCAACGAUUAAAACCUUACGUGAUCUGAGUUCAGACCGGAGUAAUCCAGGUCAGUUUCUAUCUAUGCAGCAUCCCCCCUAGUACGAAAGGACCGGGGGAAUGGGGCCAAUACCUAGGCACGCCUCACUCCUAAGCUAAUGAAAUUAACUUAAUUAGUAUAGAAACUGCAACCUUUUUCCCCAAGAUAAGGGACU
This 1626-nucleotide ribosomal RNA is filed under the name Discoglossus galganoi (Iberian painted frog). RNAcentral's name for it is "16S ribosomal RNA". The stretch from base 86 to 1546 matches the Rfam family "Bacterial large subunit ribosomal RNA". The record is from RNAcentral. Lineage: Eukaryota; Metazoa; Chordata; Amphibia; Anura; Alytidae.